This 440-nucleotide ribosomal RNA is filed under the name uncultured bacterium. Its description in RNAcentral is "partial 16S ribosomal RNA". It matches the Rfam family "Bacterial small subunit ribosomal RNA", at positions 338 to 795 of the family's 1533-position model. The record is from RNAcentral.
CCUACGGGAGGCAGCAGUAGGGAAUAUUUCUCAAUGGGCGAAAGCCUGAAGCAGCAACGCCGCGUGGAGGAUGAAGGCCUUCGGGUUGUAAACUCCUUUUGUUAGAGAAGAUAAUGACGGUAUCUAACGAAUAAGCAUCGGCUAACUCCGUGCCAGCAGCCGCGGUAAUACGGAGGCUGCGAGCGUUAUUCGGAGUGACUGGGCGUAAAGCGCGCGUAGGGGGGGUAUCAAGUCAGAUGGUAAAUUCUGUGGCUUAACCGUAAAACUGCAUUUGAAACUGUGAAGCUCGAGUACGGGAGAGGUAGGUGGAAUUCGUGGUGUAGGGGUGAAAUGCGUAGAUAUCAAGAGGAAUACCGAUUGCGAAGGCAGCUUACUAGAACGGUACUGACACUGAUGCGCGAAAGCGUGGGGAGCAAACAGGAUUAGAUACCCCUGUAGUC